UACGUAGGGGGCAAGCGUUGUCCGGAAUCAUUGGGCGUAAAGCGCGUGUAGGCGGCCCGGCAAGUCCGCUGUGAAAGUCGGGGGCUCAACCCUCGAAUGCCGGUGGAUACUGUCGGGCUAGAGUGCGGAAGAGGCGAGUGGAAUUCCUGGUGUAGCGGUGAAAUGCGCAGAUAUCAGGAGGAACACCAAUUGCGAAGGCAGCUCGCUGGGACGUGACUGACGCUGAGACGCGAAAGCGUGGGGAGCGAACAGG
This 253-nucleotide ribosomal RNA is filed under the name uncultured bacterium. RNAcentral's name for it is "partial 16S ribosomal RNA". It matches the Rfam family "Bacterial small subunit ribosomal RNA", at positions 524 to 776 of the family's 1533-position model. The record is from RNAcentral.